CAGCAGCCGCGGGAAUACGUAGGUGGCAAGCGUUGUCCGGAAUUAUCGGGCGUAAAGGGCUCGCAGGCGGUUUCUUAAGUCUGAUGUGAAAGCCCCCGGCUCAACCGGGGAGGGUCAUUGGAAACUGGGAAACUUGAGUGCAGAAGAGGAGAGUGGAAUUCCACGUGUAGCGGUGAAAUGCGUAGAGAUGUGGAGGAACACCAGUGGCGAAGGCGACUCUCUGGUCUGUAACUGACGCUGAGGAGCGAAAGCGUGGGGAGCGGACAGGAUUAGAUACCCCCGUAGUCCCUGUCUCUUAUAC
RNAcentral lists this ribosomal RNA (301 nucleotides) under uncultured bacterium. RNAcentral's name for it is "partial 16S ribosomal RNA". It matches the Rfam family "Bacterial small subunit ribosomal RNA", at positions 509 to 807 of the family's 1533-position model. The record is from RNAcentral.